Molecule: ribosomal RNA, 491 nt
Filed under: uncultured bacterium
Lineage: Bacteria
Description: partial 16S ribosomal RNA
Rfam family: Bacterial small subunit ribosomal RNA
Source: RNAcentral
GUGAACGCUGGCGGUAGGCCUAACACAUGCAAGUCGAACGGCAGCACAGUAAGAGCUUGCUCUUACGGGUGGCGAGUGGCGGACGGGUGAGGAAUACAUCGGAAUCUACUUUUUCGUGGGGGAUAACGUAGGGAAACUUACGCUAAUACCUCAUACGACCUACGGGUGAAAGCAGGUGAUCUUCGGACCUUUCGCGAUUGAAUGAGCCGAUGUCGGAUUAGCUAGUUGGCGGGGUAAAGGCCCACCAAGGCGACGAUCCGUAGCUGGUCUGAGAGGAUGAUCAGCCACACUGGAACUGAGACACGGUCCAGACUCCUACGGGAGGCAGCAGUGGGGAAUAUUGGACAAUGGGCGCAAGCCUGAUCCAGCCAUACCGCGUGGGUGAAGAAGGCCUUCGGGUUGUAAAGCCCCUUUGUUGGGAAAGAAAAGCAGCAGGUUAAUACCCCGCUGUUCUGACGGUACCCAAAGAAUAAGCACCGGCUAACUUCGUG